UCCGUAGGUGAACCUGCGGAAGGAUCAUUACAGUAUUCUUUUUGCCAGCGCUUAAUUGCGCGGCGAAAAAACCUUACACACAGUGUUUUUUGUUAUUACAAGAACUUUUGCUUUGGUCUGGACUAGAAAUAGUUUGGGCCAGAGGUUUACUGAACUAAACUUCAAUAUUUAUAUUGAAUUGUUAUUUAUUUAAUUGUCAAUUUGUUGAUUAAAUUCAAAAAAUCUUCAAAACUUUCAACAACGGAUCUCUUGGUUCUCGCAUCGAUGAAGAACGCAGCGAAAUGCGAUAAGUAAUAUGAAUUGCAGAUUUUCGUGAAUCAUCGAAUCUUUGAACGCACAUUGCGCCCUCUGGUAUUCCAGAGGGCAUGCCUGUUUGAGCGUCAUUUCUCUCUCAAACCUUCGGGUUUGGUAUUGAGUGAUACUCUUAGUUGAACUAGGCGUUUGCUUGAAAUGUAUUGGCAUGAGUGGUACUGGAUAGUGCUAUAUGACUUUCAAUGUAUUAGGUUUAUCCAACUCGUUGAAUAGUUUAAUGGUAUAUUUCUCGGUAUUCUAGGCUCGGCCUUACAAUAUAACAAACAAGUUUGACCUCAAAUCAGGUAGGAUUACCCGCUGAACUUAAGCAUAUCAAUAAGCGGAGGAAAAGAAACCAACAGGGAUUGCCUUAGUAACGGCGAGUGAAGCGGCAAAAGCUCAAAUUUGAAAUCUGGCACCUUCGGUGUCCGAGUUGUAAUUUGAAGAAGGUAACUUUGGAGUUGGCUCUUGUCUAUGUUCCUUGGAACAGGACGUCACAGAGGGUGAGAAUCCCGUGCGAUGAGAUGCCCAAUUCUAUGUAAAGUGCUUUCGAAGAGUCGAGUUGUUUGGGAAUGCAGCUCUAAGUGGGUGGUAAAUUCCAUCUAAAGCUAAAUAUUGGCGAGAGACCGAUAGCGAACAAGUACAGUGAUGGAAAGAUGAAAAGAACUUUGAAAAGAGAGUGAAAAAGUACGUGAAAUUGUUGAAAGGGAAGGGCUUGAGAUCAGACUUGGUAUUUUGCGAUCCUUUCCUUCUUGGUUGGGUUCCUCGCAGCUUACUGGGCCAGCAUCGGUUUGGAUGGUAGGAUAAUGACUAAGGAAUGUGGCUCUACUUCGGUGGAGUGUUAUAGCCUUGGUUGAUACUGCCUGUCUAGACCGAGGACUGCGUCUUUGACUAGGAUGUUGGCAUAAUGAUCUUAAGCCAC
This 1213-nucleotide small RNA is filed under the name Debaryomyces hansenii. Its description in RNAcentral is "eukaryotic LSU rRNA". The stretch from base 583 to 1213 matches the Rfam family "Eukaryotic large subunit ribosomal RNA", at positions 1 to 648 of the family's 3401-position model. Lineage: Eukaryota; Fungi; Ascomycota; Pichiomycetes; Serinales; Debaryomycetaceae. The record is from RNAcentral.